Cebus imitator (Panamanian white-faced capuchin) is the source of this 723-nucleotide long non-coding RNA. RefSeq lists it as uncharacterized. The record is from RefSeq and is a predicted model, not a curated record. The transcript is spliced from 2 exons. NCBI's taxonomy places the organism in Eukaryota, Metazoa, Chordata, Mammalia, Primates, Cebidae.
AACACAGCAAGAAGUCAUUGAAUAGCUAUGAGAAAACAUGUAUCUCAUUUCAAUUCUUUGAUGUUUUUUGUAGGAGCUGGACACACCAUUUAGACUCUAUGGACUGACAAUGAAUCCCUUAAUCUACAAUAUCACAAGAGUAGUUAUCCUUUCUGCUGUCUCAGGUGUUAUAAGUGAUCUUCUAGGAUUUAAUAUAAGACUGUGGAAAAUUAAAUCAUAAGCUGAGUUAAAUGCCCGGACUCUCCCCUGGCUGGUAUCAAUACUUACCCAUUAAGGAAAGAGAUGACUGCAGAAACCAGUGAGAUACCCACCUGCUUGUUCACAUGCACAGGUGCUCUCAGCUCUGCCAAUGAAUGGUGUUUCCAGAGGAACAAGGCCUUUGCCAACUGGGUGUGCAUGCUAAAAACCUGUAUUUUCAUGCUUUUCAAACAGUAUGAAUAGUCAGCCAACUAAAGACUGUGUGUUAUGGUAACACAAGGACAAUUUUCUAGUUAGGAAAUUUAUUCUGGGCACUUCAGUACUGUGACAGUUAUAUUUACAGGACAUAGUCUUUUGGGCAACUAUGGUAGAUGCCCAAAGCAUGAAGCACAUAUCUUUUAUUGGAAAUUUGCAAAUUCAGUACUUUUUCAUUACAGCCUAUCGAAUUGGAGAUUUCAUUUCUCUAUCAAAGAGAGAUCAAGCAAACUAUUUUAGGUUAAAUCUGAAUAAAAGAACUUUACUGGA